RNAcentral lists this ribosomal RNA (505 nucleotides) under uncultured bacterium. RNAcentral's name for it is "partial 16S ribosomal RNA". It matches the Rfam family "Bacterial small subunit ribosomal RNA", at positions 28 to 507 of the family's 1533-position model. The record is from RNAcentral.
GACGAACGCUGGCGGCGUGCCUAAUACAUGCAAGUAGAACGCACAGUUUAUACCGUAGCUUGCUGCACCAUAGACAGUGAGUUGCGAACGGGUGAGUAACGCGUAGGUAACCUGCCUGGUAGCGGGGGAGAACUAUUGAUAACGCAAGCUAAUACCGCAUAAUAUUGAUUAUUGCCUGAUAAUUGAUUGAAAGAUGCUAUUGCAUCACUACCAGAUGGACCUGCGUUGUAUUAGCUAGUAGGUGAGGUAACGGCUCACCUACGCGACGAUACAUAACCGACCUGAGAGGGUGAUCGGCCACACUGGGACUGGGACACGGCCCAGACUCCUACGGGGGGGAGCAGUAGGGGAUCUUUGGAAAUGGACGGAAGGCUUGACGCGGAACGCCGGGUGGGUGGAGGAGGGCUUCGGGUCGUAAAGGUCUGUUGUAAGGGAAGAACGCGUGUGAGAGUGGAAAGUUCACACUGUGACGGUAUCUUAACAGAAAGCGACGGCUAACUACGUG